CAGUCGCCGCGGUAAAACGAGGGGGGCAAGCGUUGUUCGGAAUUAUUGGGCGUAAAGGGCGCGUAGGCGGUUUGGCAAGUUUCGUGUGAAAUCUUCGGGCUCAACCCGAAGUCUGCACGGAAAACUGCCGGGCUUGAGUAUGGGAGAGGUGAGUGGAAUUUCCGGUGUAGCGGUGAAAUGCGUAGAUAUCGGAAGGAACACCUGUGGCGAAAGCGGCUCACUGGACCAUUACUGACGCUGAGGCGCGAAAGCUAGGGGAGCAAACAGGAUUAGAUACCCCCGUAGUCCCUGUCUCUUAUAC
RNAcentral lists this ribosomal RNA (301 nucleotides) under uncultured bacterium. RNAcentral's name for it is "partial 16S ribosomal RNA". It matches the Rfam family "Bacterial small subunit ribosomal RNA", at positions 509 to 807 of the family's 1533-position model. The record is from RNAcentral.